Non-coding RNA from Podarcis lilfordi (Lilford's wall lizard), 336 nucleotides. NCBI's taxonomy places the organism in Eukaryota, Metazoa, Chordata, Lepidosauria, Squamata, Lacertidae. The record is from the annotation of a GenBank genome assembly.
CUAUAAUAAGCAUACUAGGACUCAAUUUCUUGACUUUAAGAAAGCCGACUUCAUAAAACUUAGGGAAGUGCUGGGUGAGAUCCCAUGGACAAUAAUACUAAAAGGAAAGGGAGUUCAUGAUGGUUGGGAGUUUGUUAAGAGGGAGAUACUAAAAGCACAACGUCAGGCAAUACCAAUGAGACGGAAACAUGGAAGGUGCUUAAAGAAGCCAGGGUGGCUAUCUAAAGAACUUUUAACUGAGUUAAGAUUAAAAAGGAUGUGUACAAAAAAUGGAAAAGGGGGGAAACCACCAAAGAGGAAUUCAAACAAAUAGCCAGCAUGUGUAGACACAAAGUC